RNAcentral lists this ribosomal RNA (468 nucleotides) under uncultured bacterium. RNAcentral describes it as "partial 16S ribosomal RNA". It matches the Rfam family "Bacterial small subunit ribosomal RNA", at positions 28 to 507 of the family's 1533-position model. The record is from RNAcentral.
GACGAACGCUGGCGGCGUGCUUAACACAUGCAAGUCGAACGGAAAGGCCCUGCUUUUGUGGGGUGCUCGAGUGGCGACCGGGUGAGUAACACGUGAGUAACCUGCCCUUGACUUUGGGAUAACUUCAGGAAACUGGGGCUAAUACCGGAUAGGAGCUCCUGCUGCAUGGUGGGGGUUGGAAAGUUUCGGCGGUUGGGGAUGGACUCGCGGCUUAUCAGCUUGUUGGUGGGGUAGUGGCUUACCAAGGCUUUGACGGGUAGCCGGCCUGAGAGGGUGACCGGCCACAUUGGGAUUGAGAUACGGCCCAGACUCCUACGGGAGGCAGCAGUGGGGAAGAUUGCACAAUGGGCGGAAGCCUGAUGCAGCAACGCCGCGUGCGGGAUGACGGCCUUCGGGUUGUAAACCGCUUUCGCCUGUGACGAAGCGUGAGUGACGGUAAUGGGUAAAGAAGCACCGGCUAACUACGUG